UUUAAAGUGUAAUGUAAGUCGCUUUGGAUAAAAGCGUCUGCUAAAUGUAACGUA
Gasterosteus aculeatus (three-spined stickleback) is the source of this 54-nucleotide non-coding RNA. The record is from Rfam. Lineage: Eukaryota; Metazoa; Chordata; Actinopteri; Perciformes; Gasterosteidae.